RNAcentral lists this ribosomal RNA (498 nucleotides) under uncultured bacterium. RNAcentral's name for it is "partial 16S ribosomal RNA". It matches the Rfam family "Bacterial small subunit ribosomal RNA", at positions 30 to 523 of the family's 1533-position model. The record is from RNAcentral.
AUUGAACGCUGGCGGCAUGCUUUACACAUGCAAGUCGAACGGUAACAGGCCGCAAGGUGCUGACGAGUGGCGAACGGGUGAGUCAUGCAUCGGAACGUGCCCAGUCGUGGGGGAUAACGCAGCGAAAGCUGUGCUAAUACCGCAUACGAUCUAUGGAUGAAAGCGGGGGACCGUAAGGCCUCGCGCGAUUGGUGCGGCCGAUGUCAGAUUAGGUAGUGGGUGGGGUAAAGGCUCACCAAGCCAACGAUCUGUAGCUGGUCUGAGAGGACGACAAGCCACACUGGGACUGAGACACGGCCCAGACUCCUACGGGAGGCAGCAGUGGGGAAUUUUGGACAAUGGGCGCAAGCCUGAUCCAGCAAUGCCGCGUGCAGGAAGAAGGCCUUCGGGUUGUAAACUGCUUUUGUACGGAACGAAAAGGUUUGGGUUAAUACCCUGGGCCGAUGACGGUACCGUAAGAAUAAGCACCGGCUAACUACGUGCCAGCAGCCGCCGUAA